Molecule: transfer RNA, 73 nt
Filed under: Penaeus chinensis
Lineage: Eukaryota; Metazoa; Arthropoda; Malacostraca; Decapoda; Penaeidae
Description: tRNA-Arg
Rfam family: tRNA
About the family: Transfer RNA (tRNA) molecules are approximately 80 nucleotides in length. Their secondary structure includes four short double-helical elements and three loops (D, anti-codon, and T loops).
Source: RNAcentral
GCCGCGGUGGCCCAGUGGUUAGAGCACUGGGCUGCGACGCUCGUGGUCCCGGGAUCGAAUCCCGGCCGCGGCA